GAUUUCUGGCUUGUACCACUUUGCCGGCCGCGGUUUCGCGUGUUAGUGCUUUGUGUUCUGGCCAUCCUUCCAAUCGCUAUUCACCUUUCUUCAUUGAUGGGUGAGUGGUAUUGGAUCUUUUACUUUGAAAAAAUUAGAGUGUUUCAAGCAGGCUUUAUGCUAUGAAUACAUUAGCAUGGAAUAAUAAUUUAGGACUUCGGUUCUAUUUUGUUGGUUUCUAGGACUGAAGUAAUGAUUGAUAGGGAUAGUUGGGGGUGCUAGUAUUCAGCGGCCAGAGGUGAAAUUCUCGGAUUCGCUGAAGACUAACUUAUGCGAAAGCAUU
Molecule: ribosomal RNA, 322 nt
Filed under: Sandonidae sp.
Lineage: Eukaryota; Cercozoa; Glissomonadida; Sandonidae
Description: SSU rRNA
Rfam family: Eukaryotic small subunit ribosomal RNA (bases 62-322)
Source: RNAcentral